RNAcentral lists this long non-coding RNA (569 nucleotides) under Homo sapiens (human). RNAcentral describes it as "HSALNT0023509". The record is from RNAcentral. Lineage: Eukaryota; Metazoa; Chordata; Mammalia; Primates; Hominidae.
UUUAAAUGCUAGCCUGUUGCUCCAGACUUCUACCAUAUGUAGUUACAUUUUAGGAAACGUCUAGUGGCCUGAAGUUUAGGCACAGAGUCUGGUGUUUGUUCACAGGGAUCUUCUGUGGGGAUGAUACUUUACUCUGGUUUGUUCCAUGGCUGGGUGACAUUAUACAGGUUUGUUCCAUGGCUGGGUGACACUACACGGCAAAGGAAUACUUGAGCUGGGCUUCAAGGAAACAUUUAGCUAUGUGGUCAUUGUAGAAAGCACAGAUGACAAACGGGGGCUGAGUGUAAGUAUCCACAAGUGAUCACGGGUCAAGGCCUGAGGGCAACGCAGGGGCAGGCUGGGUUGCCAUGCAUUGUCCAUGGGGCAGCAUGAGAGGCUGUCCUAGGAGGCUGUUGCCAGGAAGUAUGUGCUUGGUCCAGACUUCCCAGGUUCUCGUCAAAGACCAGACAGCAACCUGGACACAGAGGAACUCCUCAGUUCUUCUGAAAUCCUGAAGCUCUAAAACAAUGAAACAGAAAUGGAUGCAGCAGCUGUCAUAGGUAUUAGUCAAUACCUAAGUGUUAAGAACA